CGGACGGGUGAGUAAUGUCUGGGAAACUGCCCGAUGGAGGGGGGUAACUACUGGAAACGGUAGCUAAUACCGCAUAACGUCGCGAGACCAAAGAGGGGGACCUUCGGGCCUCUUGCCAUCGGAUGUGCCCAGAUGGGAUUAGCUAGUAGGUGGGGUAAAGGCUCACCUAGGCGACGAUCCCUAGCUGGUCUGAGAGGAUGACCAGCCACACUGGAACUGAGACACGGUCCAG
Molecule: ribosomal RNA, 232 nt
Filed under: uncultured bacterium
Lineage: Bacteria
Description: partial 16S ribosomal RNA
Rfam family: Bacterial small subunit ribosomal RNA
Source: RNAcentral